Molecule: ribosomal RNA, 497 nt
Filed under: uncultured bacterium
Lineage: Bacteria
Description: partial 16S ribosomal RNA
Rfam family: Bacterial small subunit ribosomal RNA
Source: RNAcentral
GAUGAACGCUGGCGGCGUGCCUAAUACAUGCAAGUCGAGCGAACAGAUGAGGAUCUUGCUCCUCUGACGUUAGCGGCGGACGGGUGAGUAACACGUGGAUAACCUACCUAUAAGACUGGGAUAACGUCGGGAAACCGGAGCUAAUACCGGAUAAUAUAUUGAACCGCAUGGUUCAAUAGUGAAAGACGGUUUUGAUGUCACUUAUAGAUGGAUCCGCGCCGCAUUAGCUAGUUGGUAAGGUAACGGCUUACCAAGGCAACGAUGCGUAGCCGACCUGAGAGGGUGAUCGGCCACACUGGAACUGAGACACGGUCCAGACUCCUACGGGAGGCAGCAGUAGGGAAUUUUCCGCAAUGGGCGAAAGCCUGACGGAGCAACGCCGCGUGAGUGAAGAAGGUCUUCGGAUCGUAAAACUCUGUUAUCAGGGAAGAACAAAUGUGUAAGUAACUAUGCACGUCUUGACGGUACCUAAUCAGAAAGCAACGGCUAACUACGUG